Molecule: long non-coding RNA, 2045 nt
Organism: Panicum hallii
Lineage: Eukaryota; Viridiplantae; Streptophyta; Magnoliopsida; Poales; Poaceae
Exons: 3
Source: RefSeq, a predicted model, not a curated record
UUGAAAACUUACAGUUUGUUCGUAAUGUUCAUGAAUCUGGGAGCUUGAUUGUGCUGCUUCACAGAGUUCAUCAUUCUUUGCAAACCUUCCUCGGACGCGGGGCCUGCUAUCUGCCAAGGUUUUUCUACAAGCGUACUGCAUUUUGUUGUGUGUUAGCAUAAUUGAAUUGGUGACAAGCGGACAACCUUGAAUGUGGAGUCUUCCAAGCCUGAUAGCUCUGUUGUAGGUAAUGUUGCUGGGUUCCCAUUGCAUCCGUUUGUCAGGUGCUGAUUAUUUCCUCCUACCUGUGUAAGAAGCCGAAGCAAUUUGCAUGGUCAGCUGAUUACUUGGCCCAUCCUUUUAUCUGGCAUCAUUGUGGUAUGUAAUAUGAUUCUCAAUGUACGCCUAGGUUCUGAAUGUUACCUGCAUCUCUGCAUUAUUAAAUGCCCCUUGCAUGGAAUCUGUGUCGCUAUAUGUUCCGGUCAGUCCUUCACCUUCCAUCAUCUUCUGAAUUUCACCAAGCAUCACCAUACUGUUGCUACUAUCACUUGCACUGUUGAAAAAUCCUCUUUGUGGUGCCUCUGCAUUGCAGCUCGGAAGAAUUGCAUCUGCUUGCUGAAACAUGGCUCCAUCCAAACCUAUGAACCCUCCAGCUAGUGCGGCUGUGAAGCACUCAUCAUAGUCUGAAGUGAUUGGCAUCAAGGCAGGUGCACUACUGCUCAUUUGCAUUGGGGGCACUUGUUCUGCAAUGGUCCCUGGAAGUUCCAUUUGAUUGAAUUGCUCUAUGCUGGCCUCAUUGAUGGCAUGUGGAUAGUAUGCUACUUCUGAAAGCCCAUCGAUCGGGGGUAGGAGCUCGGUGUCAAGAUCAUGGUGUUGCUCUUGCUCAAGGAGGGCCGUGAGAGUGUAGUCGAAGGAGGGCAAAGGGGAGUAGGCUGUGCGUACAACAGCUGGAGUUUCAUCACUGUAGCUGCAGACAGGAGGGGUGGUAGUGGUAGACGAUGAAACAUCAUCUGAGGAGGCUGGAAAUGUCUCAGAGGUAGUAGCCACUGCAGCAAAGAGGUCAUCACCAAGGCCGUCGUCACAGAAGUCAAGAAUAUGAGCAGCUAUUGGACUUGAAAUGUCCUCCUGUAAAUUUCAGAGGGACAAAACAUGAAUGUACCAAUUGUCCUAAGAAGCAACUCAUUGACAUUUCAAUUACAACCCUAAGAGCAUGCAUUGAUGCAUAGAUAGGAUGCAAGAUUGAUCAAAGAUGGCAGCGAAAGAUCUCAGAAGGAAAUGGAAUUGCUUGGUUGGAUUCAGAACAUCAUUGCAAACCUAGGAAGUACAGAGCAAGAUCUGUGGUAGAGAAACAAUUACGGUGAUGCAAUCGUCAGGAAGCAUGGCAGGCACCGUAAAUCUUCACCGAAAAUGAUCAGAUUGGCGCACAACGCAGCUUCUCAGACAAGUUUUCUCCAAUGUUACUGAUCCCCGAGAAGAGAGACGGUUCUUCUUGUGGCGGUGGUAAACGAAGAAUCAGCAUGUGUGAGGAAGGUAUGCUAAUGAAAGAGGGGUGACCAAAAAUAAGCCAGCUUGGCCAUGCAGGUGCACAUGACUAUUUUCCAAGAUGACCACAGCAAGGAAGUCCCCAGAAUUUUCUGCGCGACGAUUGCGGUCGGGAGGGUUACGGGGUUGAAAGAAAGACGUAACCAAGAAAGUAGCCAACAUAAAAUUGGAUAUCCUAAAUGCAUGUGCAUGUUCCGAUGCAAGGAUGCUAUUAUUGCGCAGGCUGUGCUUAUUUCUGGAAAGAAGUCUCAACGAAUUCGAUCGCUCUUCAAAGCUGAUAGACCGGGGCAUGCGACGGCCUCAUCUGACGGGUGUUUAACCGGUCUGAAAUAUAUUUUCCUCCAGCAUUUAUGACUUUUUGCAUGGGCGUGGUCUCCUCCUUUUAGUAGUCACUUGACAAUACAGAAAAUUGUGUUUACGGAGGAUAUGAAUUGAAUAGAUUAUAUCAUGCCAAGGUAGUAAUAAUACAGAGAGAAUAUUGCGUGUUAAUAAUGAAAAAAAAAUCUUCACGAGCGGUUUUGCUA